This 449-nucleotide ribosomal RNA is filed under the name uncultured bacterium. RNAcentral's name for it is "bacterial SSU rRNA". It matches the Rfam family "Bacterial small subunit ribosomal RNA", at positions 329 to 794 of the family's 1533-position model. The record is from RNAcentral.
CGCCAGACUCCUACGGGAGGCAGCAGUGGGGAAUAUUGCACAAUGGGGGAAACCCUGAUGCAGCGACGCCGCGUGAGCGAUGAAGUAUUUCGGUAUGUAAAGCUCUAUCAGCAGGGAAGAAGAUGACGGUACCUGACUAAGAAGCCCCGGCUAACUACGUGCCAGCAGCCGCGGUAAUACGUAGGGGGCAAGCGUUAUCCGGAUUUACUGGGUGUAAAGGGAGCGUAGACGGCGAUGCAAGCCAGAUGUGAAAGCCCGGGGCUCAACCCCGGGACUGCAUUUGGAACUGUGUGGCUGGAGUGUCGGAGAGGCAGGCGGAAUUCCUAGUGUAGCGGUGAAAUGCGUAGAUAUUAGGAGGAACACCAGUGGCGAAGGCGGCCUGCUGGACGAUGACUGACGUUGAGGCUCGAAAGCGUGGGGAGCAAACAGGAUUAGAUACCCCAGUAUGA